GCAAGGGGGUCAUCCCGACUUACCAACCCGAUGCAAACUGCGAAUACCGGAGAAUGUUAUCACGGGAGACACACGGCGGGUGCUAACGUCCGUCGUGAAGAGGGAAACAACCCAGACCGCCAGCUAAGGUCCCAAAGUCAUGGUUAAGUGGGAAACGAUGUGGGAAGGCCCAGACAGCCAGGAUGUUGGCUUAGAAGCAGCCAUCAUUUAAAGAAAGCGUAAUAGCUCACUGGUCGAGUCGGCCUGCGCGGAAGAUGUAACGGGGCUAAACCAU
This 274-nucleotide ribosomal RNA is filed under the name Escherichia coli. RNAcentral describes it as "partial 23S ribosomal RNA". It matches the Rfam family "Bacterial large subunit ribosomal RNA", at positions 918 to 1190 of the family's 2925-position model. The record is from RNAcentral. Lineage: Bacteria; Pseudomonadati; Pseudomonadota; Gammaproteobacteria; Enterobacterales; Enterobacteriaceae.